Molecule: non-coding RNA, 1179 nt
Organism: Paramuricea clavata
Lineage: Eukaryota; Metazoa; Cnidaria; Anthozoa; Malacalcyonacea; Plexauridae
Source: the annotation of a GenBank genome assembly
GAUCGGAUUACGAAUUUUAGCAUCGGAUCGGAUCGGAUUUUAUAAACAUUGUUUCGGAUCGGAUCGGAUUACUUUUUUCAUCUUCGGAUCGGAUUCGGAUUGAGAACUUAGACAAACCAUCGGAUUGAGAGAGGUCAAUCCGAUCCGACGCACACCUCUAGUUAUUAGUGCAUUAGUGCAAAUGUCACAAGAUUUGCAUUAAGCCUAGUUCUCAUUCAUCGCAAACCGUCGGCGAUGGGAGCUUUGCGACGUCGGCGACCGCUUGCCAUUUAUGAAAACACAUCAAAAAUUGUAUCGCCGAUUGUCCGUAAUCGUCGCCGACCAUCGGCGAUGACAUCGCAGGAAACAAAAAAGUUUGUUUCUUGCGACCAUCGCCGACUGCCACCUGCUUGAAAAAUCUAUGAGAAAUGAGUAAAAGUUGUUUUUUCCUCUGCAAGCAAGGAAAUAAUCAAUUGAAGUUUGACAGAAAUAAUGAACUUUCGGUUGAAUGGGCCAUUUUGUAGGAAAUUUGGGAAAUUUCGAAACACAUCGGCUGUCAUCUGCGACGAUCACCGAUGUAUGAGAACUUUCGUGCAUUCGCGCUCGGUGAGUAUCGGCGAUAAGCGUCGCGAUAAGCGUCGUUUGCGAUGAAUGAGAACUAGGCUUUAUCAAGCUAUGUUAUUUUGAUUGGGCAUCGAAGUGUUGAAUCAUUCAGUACAACAAGGUGAUGUAAAUGUCAUUCAGUAAGUUAUUAACUUUGCUUUCUAAACGUGAUUGUAAGCAAGUUUGACUUGAAAUAGCGUUUCAAUUCGGUAUUAGGCAGCAAAAUACCAAAAUGUCGGUAUAUCGGUAUUUUUAAAUUGUCAAUAUCACCAAUACUGGUAUCUAAACAAAUACCGGAUAUAUCCGGUAUAUCGAUCCACUCUAGGCAUAUUGCACUUAAAAUGCACCAAGUCUAACUGUGGAAAGUGUUUUAUGUUUGUGACAAAAUAACAUGCGUCACGGUAUGUUUACAAAUUGGCUUGUGAAUUCCAAUAUGAGCUUCUGAACUUUGCAACGAACUUCGCAACAAAGUUUCCGAACAUUUGUGGUCAAAGUUUUGUGAAAUCGACUGUAAUACUCAGUUGUUGUAGUUAUUGCCAUUGUUUAUCAAAUAUCAUUACAUUUGUAGAAAACGAUCAGCAUAUGACUCUGAUAGCU